AGUUUGAUCAUGGCUCAGGAUGAACGCUAGCGGGAGGCCUAACACAUGCAAGCUGAGCGGUAUUUGUCUUUCGGGACAGAGAGAGCGGCGUACGGGUGCGUAACACGUGUGCAACCUGCCUUUAUCAGGAGGAUAGCCUUUUCGAAAGGAAAGAUUAAUACUCCAUAAUAUAUUAAUUGGCAUCAAUUGAUAUUGAAAACUCCGGUGGAUAAAGAUGGGCACGCGCAAGAUUAGAUAGUUGGUGAGGUAACGGCUCACCAAGUCGAUGAUCUUUAGGGGCCUGAGAGGGUGAUCCCCCACACUGGUACUGAGACACGGACCAGACUCCUACGGGAGGCAGCAGUGAGGAAUAUUGGACAAUGGGCUAGCGCCUGAUCCAGCCAUCCCGCGUGAAGGAUUAAGGACCUAUGGUUUGUAAACUUCUUUUGUACAGGGAUAAACCUACCCUCGUGAGGGUAGCUGAAGGUACUGUACGAAUAAGCACCGGCUAACUCCGUG
RNAcentral lists this ribosomal RNA (498 nucleotides) under uncultured bacterium. RNAcentral's name for it is "bacterial SSU rRNA". It matches the Rfam family "Bacterial small subunit ribosomal RNA", at positions 10 to 507 of the family's 1533-position model. The record is from RNAcentral.